GAUUCGCUAUUGUACCAGCAGCAUCUUUUAACAUCCCAGGGUGGAAAAUGGUCCAGAUCAGUAGACUUUUUUCGUUAAAGACUUUUCAAUCAUGGGUCACCCGUGACAAAAUGCCACGUAGAUCGGGAACCAAAACUGUUAAAGUUCUCAAAAAAAGUAAGUUGGUCAUUUUAUUACACACGGUGCACAAUCGAAUGACCCAAGAAUAUUUGAAUUCUCGUCCCAGAUCCCGUAGUAGACCCUUUGCACGACCCGGUCACAUGGUACAAAAUCAGCCAUCCAGCCCAGCUUGACUUUCCCUUGUUUUGGAUCCAGCAAACUGGACAAGAGACAGGAUCACAAUGCGAGGAACUUUUAAGUUACCUCUUAGGCUGAUCAUAAACAGCGGCAACCUAAAAAAAAAGGAGAUUUGCGACAAAAUCGCUGCCGACUUCAAUACAAAGUCCGAUCAAGUCCAGUAAGGAUGUCACAGGAACGCAGUGCGAUUUCUGUUUAAUUAAAUUUCGCCUCAGAAUAAAUUCUUCGUGAACCCCAAGAGUCCGUCUGGAAUUAAUCGGCCGCAAUGCAGGUUCCCCUUCGGGCAACACGCACCAUUACACAGGCGUGAUUUUAAUCGUAACGAAAUGGAACAACUUUUUUUCCACAAUGAAUUUCAAUUUCCGGAAUUAUUUUUUCUUAAUGGCAAGCGCCCCGCCAACUACUAAAACUGCUCUGAUCAAACUGGUAAACCAAAAAAAACAAAACGGAAAAACUCGAGAGACAGUGACGUUGGAAAGAAACAUCAUCAAACAUUUGAAAAAAAAAAAAAAAUAGACACAAGACAAAAAAAAGAAACUCCAAGAGGAAAAAAUACUUUUUAUUCUGUGCUCAACCAAAGUAGCAAGACAAGCAUUCCGGGCCCAUAAUUAAUAUUCCAUACGCUACAGAAUUUAAACAUUUUUGCAAAUGCUUUCUUUGUUGAUGCUAAUGAUCUUGUAGCAUCAUUAAAAAGUGUUGUCGUUUUCCAGAAACGAGCGACCUAUUUACCGCUAUCCCGACCAUAAGAGCAAUAUGAAAAUAAUGUUAACUCUUGUUAUCAAGAUAUGUUAUUCCUUGCCUGAUAAGAUGUCUCAUAGUAAUUGCAAUCUAAUUUCGUCAAACUCUUUCCACUGAUGUUAAUCAUUUUAUAUACUCACAUUUUUCACCAGUGACAGAUCACGUGUUCUAGAAAUGCCUUACACGAGCGCUACACCUAGCUUGGUUAUGCAGUAUCAAUAAAAUGUGUUCUCUUGGCUGCGUAAUAGCUUAUCCCCACAUUUCUGUUCACCACUCAACAUUUGAAAGAGCUUCCAGUAUUACAAAAUUUUUAAUCACUGGUCAUCAGAUGUUGUUUUGUUUUUCCUGAAAAACAUUCUGAAAAUCUUUUCCAAUGUCAUGCUAGAA
Long non-coding RNA from Orbicella faveolata, 1422 nucleotides. Lineage: Eukaryota; Metazoa; Cnidaria; Anthozoa; Scleractinia; Merulinidae. The record is from RefSeq and is a predicted model, not a curated record.